This 303-nucleotide ribosomal RNA is filed under the name uncultured bacterium. Its description in RNAcentral is "partial 16S ribosomal RNA". It matches the Rfam family "Bacterial small subunit ribosomal RNA", at positions 507 to 807 of the family's 1533-position model. The record is from RNAcentral.
AGCAGUAGCCACGGGAAUACGAAGGGGGCUAGCGUUGCUCGGAAUGACUGGGCGUAAAGGGCGCGUAGGCGGAUUGUUUAGUUAGGCGUGAAAUUCCUGGGCUUAACCUGGGGACUGCGCUUAAUACAGGCAGUCUAGAGUGAGGAAGAGGGUUGUGGAAUUCCCAGUGUAGAGGUGAAAUUCGUAGAUAUUGGGAAGAACACCGGUGGCGAAGGCGGCAACCUGGUCCUUGACUGACGCUGAGGCGCGAAAGCGUGGGGAGCAAACAGGAUUAGAUACCCCCGUAGUCCCUGUCUCUUAUAC